This 397-nucleotide ribosomal RNA is filed under the name uncultured bacterium. RNAcentral describes it as "bacterial SSU rRNA". It matches the Rfam family "Bacterial small subunit ribosomal RNA", at positions 996 to 1393 of the family's 1533-position model. The record is from RNAcentral.
ACUUGGUGAGAUCCUUGGUGCCUUCGGGAGCGCAGAGACAGGUGCUGCAUGGCUGUCGUCAGCUCGUGUUGUGAAAUGUUGGGUUAAGUCCCGUAACGAGCGCAACCCUUGUCCUUAUUUGCCAGCACGUAAUGGUGGGAACUCUAAGGAGACUGCCGGUGACAAACCGGAGGAAGGUGGGGACGACGUCAAGUCAUCAUGGCCCUUACGGGUAGGGCUACACACGUGCUACAAUGGCCGGUACAAAGGGCUGCGAGCUCGCGAGAGUCAGCGAAUCCCUUAAAGCCGGUCUCAGUCCGGAUCGGAGUCUGCAACUCGACUCCGUGAAGUCGGAAUCGCUAGUAAUCGUGCAUCAGAAUGGCACGGUGAAUACGUUCCCGGGUCUUGUACACACCAA